This 93-nucleotide microRNA precursor is filed under the name Canis lupus familiaris (dog). RNAcentral describes it as "mir-8799 microRNA precursor family". It matches the Rfam family "mir-8799 microRNA precursor family". The record is from Rfam by way of RNAcentral. Lineage: Eukaryota; Metazoa; Chordata; Mammalia; Carnivora; Canidae.
AGAGGGAGCGCAGGAUCUGGGUGUGUUCCUCGGUGUCCUGGGCUCCGGGGCCUGCACUGCUGGAAUUGCGCUCCCAGGGCCGCGCAGCCGCCU